UUCCUGGUAGCUCAGCCGGUAGAGUAUCUGCCUGCAGUGCAGGAGACCUGGGUUCGAUCCCUGGGUUGGGAA
Ovis aries (sheep) is the source of this 72-nucleotide transfer RNA. It matches the Rfam family "tRNA". From Rfam's summary of the family: Transfer RNA (tRNA) molecules are approximately 80 nucleotides in length. Their secondary structure includes four short double-helical elements and three loops (D, anti-codon, and T loops). Lineage: Eukaryota; Metazoa; Chordata; Mammalia; Artiodactyla; Bovidae. The record is from Rfam.